CAGAACGAACGCUGGCGGCGCGUCUUAAGCAUGCAAGUCGAGCGGCAAGAGGUAGCAAUACCUCCUAGAGUGGCGGACUGGUGAGUAACACGUGGGUGACAUACCCUUCAGAUGGGGAUAGCUAUUAGAAAUAGUAGAUAAUACCGAAUACGAGCACAGGGGGUUAGAGAUCUGUGAGGAAAGGAGCUAAGGCUCCGCUGAAGGAAUGGCCUGCGGCCCAUUAGCUAGUUGGUGAGGUAAGAGCCCACCAAGGCGAUGAUGGGUAUCCGGCCUUAGAGGUGAACGGACACAUUGGACUGAGAUACGGCCCAGACUCCUACGGGAGGCAGCAGCUAAGAAUAUUCCGCAAUGGAACGAAAGUCUGACGGAGCGACGCCGCGUGGAUAGAAGAAGGCCGGAAGGUUAGUAAAAUUCCUUUUAGAAACUGAAGAAUAAGCGUUGUAGGGAAUGACAGCGUGGUGACAGUUAGGUUUUGAAUAAGCAACGGCUAAUUACGUGCCAGCAGCGGC
Molecule: ribosomal RNA, 509 nt
Filed under: uncultured bacterium
Lineage: Bacteria
Description: bacterial SSU rRNA
Rfam family: Bacterial small subunit ribosomal RNA
Source: RNAcentral